Molecule: long non-coding RNA, 265 nt
Organism: Centruroides sculpturatus (bark scorpion)
Lineage: Eukaryota; Metazoa; Arthropoda; Arachnida; Scorpiones; Buthidae
Exons: 3
Source: RefSeq, a predicted model, not a curated record
GAAAAUAAUUAGGUUUUUUGUUUUAUUAUUUUAAAAAUAAUAUACACAAUAAUAAUACAUAAAUAAGUAUUUUUCCUAUCAGGAUCCGAAAAUCGAGAUCAAGUCAUUAAGAUUGCCUACUCGAAAUACUCGAAAAAUCCAAAUAGAUCCUGUGACGAAAUAAUGAAAUAUUCGACUUGGAGAAUCCGUUUUUUAUACGAAACUGUGAAAUUCAAAUGUGAAUAUGCUCGACCAAACAAGACUCAAUUGUUACAACAGUAUCCCG